AUGCACGUGCGAUGGUAUAAAACCCUAACUCGCCGGAAUCCAUUUUCUCGCUUCUCCAGCUCAAUUCCACUUGUGUGAUAUCGAGGCUGAUGACUUCCAAUCCGAACAAGGCCUCCGCCGCCGGCAGCGCCGCCUACAAUGAAGUGGCCGUCAAGCCCUCCUCGCACGAUCCAUCAUCAGGAGCCAACAAUGAAAUCAACAAAACUUUUGACGGUAUCAUGGUCAACUGAUUUCAGGUACAAAGACAACGAUUAGAUUAAUCUUCAAAGUAGAUAACAAAAUUCAGUGGCACAAAGAACGUCUUUUAAGCAAGCAAACAGAAAGGCAUCAAAAUCUAAGCUGUGAUGGCAAUACUUCCUCAGACUGAAGCAUCUCACCUUGUUCUUCUCGCAUUCUAUCUUCGAAGAGUCCUGCAAAGCGUCAAUAAAGAACAGUUGAACAAGCACAAGAAGGCAAAAACAAAUUCCAGUCAUCAUUCUCAAGACUAGAAUGCUUCCAUCCAUGACAUCAAAUUGUUCUGGAUCUGAGCAUGAGAUAUGAACACUGCUUGACCAAAUGGACAUAUAGUUUAACAAUGGGCAUAACAUAAUAUGUUGGAAAGACAGCAACAAAACUGCAUGGAUAUGCAAGAAGGGAACAAUGAAUGAUACAUGCCUCCUGAACACAUCAACAGCUGAUUCAAACUGCUCUGGCGCCAAACCAGCUGUGCUGGUGCCACUGCACUACCUCUCAAAUGGACUCCAAACACGCCCAUUGUGAUCAUCUACUGAGAUUGACAUGACAUGGUGCGGUGCCAUGAUCGAAUAGGGUUGACAGUCGGUUCCAGGAUGACAAGAACAAUGAUGGGGGAUCUGCAAGACUCUGUGUAGCCAAAGAGGGGUCGAGAGUCAGCAGUGGAGCAGUCUUAUUGCGAACUGCACCAGGAGCUGAAGACAGACACUGGAAUUGAAUUGAAGCAACGAGGUGGAAUCUGUGAGGGGUCAACUGAGGCUGUUGAAAUUUGCACAAAUUGACUAAAAUGUUUCCAUAUUCAGCAAAUGCUCCACAUCAUCUCGUGAACUGGGCUGCUCUGUUUCUUUUGAGUUCGAUCAUGUCAAUUAUUCUAAAGACACAUGUGCAUAGUUUAGGGUUUAUUCGUCUCCACCUCAAACAAUUCUUCUCACCUGUUUUUGUAAUCAAGCAAUGAAUCUUUUCUUCA
Molecule: long non-coding RNA, 1198 nt
Organism: Zingiber officinale
Lineage: Eukaryota; Viridiplantae; Streptophyta; Magnoliopsida; Zingiberales; Zingiberaceae
Exons: 2
Source: RefSeq, a predicted model, not a curated record